This 435-nucleotide long non-coding RNA is filed under the name Pan troglodytes (chimpanzee). RNAcentral describes it as "lincRNA". The record is from RNAcentral. Lineage: Eukaryota; Metazoa; Chordata; Mammalia; Primates; Hominidae.
GCUAGGCAGUGCUGUUAGAAAGUGAUUUGGAAGAGCGCUUCCGAGCCACGGCGCGCCCUCCGGGGGAGCGCACCGGAGCAGGUGCGGGCGAGACCCGCGCCCGGGGAGAUCAGGAAUUCCCCAGCCACACCAGAUCCAACCGGACGCCCCAGAACGGGGACGGUCCCCGGAGUCCGCCUCCCAACCUGGAAGCACCUUGAGGAAGAAAUUGUCUUGUCUACAGCUCUAUCCUCAGUACAGCACCAAGCUUACAGUAGAUGCUCAGUGAAGAUUUGCCGAUUUGCCGAUUUGCCGAAUGAAUGCUUUCACCCCUGCAACUGUUUACUGCCUGCUAGGAGCUCAGAGCCUCUGGGAUACAGGCUGGGAAUGACAGUGCCUGCUUGCUUGGAAGGCCUCUCAUCUGGAGUCAAUAAAACAGCACUUCUUUGCUUCUUC